Molecule: microRNA, 24 nt
Filed under: Ananas comosus (pineapple)
Lineage: Eukaryota; Viridiplantae; Streptophyta; Magnoliopsida; Poales; Bromeliaceae
Description: microRNA s0471_c59a
Source: RNAcentral
GAUGAGUUAUUAAGAUGUUGACCC